Felis catus (domestic cat) is the source of this 469-nucleotide long non-coding RNA. RefSeq lists it as uncharacterized. NCBI's taxonomy places the organism in Eukaryota, Metazoa, Chordata, Mammalia, Carnivora, Felidae. The record is from RefSeq and is a predicted model, not a curated record. The transcript has 4 exons.
AGUUACAGAGAAUUUAGCAAAGAUCAUACAGCCAGCCAGUGGCAGAACUUGAAUUCACACCUUCUUCCUUGUGUUUCAACUACCUUAAACACUUGCUGCUCAGAAUACAAGCUUCUUAUCCAAGACAGUGGACAUGAAUACCAAAUUACAGAUGGGAUGAAAAUUAGAAAUAAAGAAAAUUAAAGAAAAGAAAAUGGAAAAUAUGCCCACAGAGUUGACCACACGUACACAUAUGCCCACAUUCAUCCCAGGGUAAUAUGAGAGAACCUGGAUACUAUUUGGAUAUUUCCAGAAAUACAACUUGAGCAAAGCCAAGACAGAAUGAAAACAAAAGAAGGAGAUACCUUACUAGACUUCUUAUCAUUCAUCUGUCAAUAUAAAAGAUACAAAAACUGGAAGACAGCAAAGACCAGGAAGUCUUAGGACUGUGCUGUAGAACUACAAUGAAAUAAAUAAAUAUGAAAGCUUU